This 408-nucleotide ribosomal RNA is filed under the name Escherichia coli. RNAcentral's name for it is "bacterial LSU rRNA". It matches the Rfam family "Bacterial large subunit ribosomal RNA", at positions 2534 to 2925 of the family's 2925-position model. Lineage: Bacteria; Pseudomonadati; Pseudomonadota; Gammaproteobacteria; Enterobacterales; Enterobacteriaceae. The record is from RNAcentral.
GGCUCAUCACAUCCUGGGGCUGAAGUAGGUCCCAAGGGUAUGGCUGUUCGCCAUUAAAGUGGUACGCGAGCUGGGUUUAGAACGUCGUGAGACAGUUCGGUCCCUAUCUGCCGUGGGCGCUGGAGAACUGAGGGGGGCUGCUCCUAGUACGAGAGGACCGGAGUGGACGCAUCACUGGUGUUCGGGUUGUCAUGCCAAUGGCACUGCCCGGUAGCUAAAUGCGGAAGAGAUAAGUGCUGAAAGCAUCUAAGCACGAAACUUGCCCCGAGAUGAGUUCUCCCUGACUCCUUGAGAGUCCUGAAGGAACGUUGAAGACGACGACGUUGAUAGGCCGGGUGUGUAAGCGCAGCGAUGCGUUGAGCUAACCGGUACUAAUGAACCGUGAGGCUUAACCUUACAACGCCGAAG